GAAGUCUCCUCCAUGUCUGAGUCUGUUUCUAUUUUGUAGAUAGGUUCCUUUGUGCCAUAUUUUAGAUCCCACAUAUCUGUAUCACUAUGAAGUUUGAUUUUAUUUCUAGUCUUAAAUGUUAAAAAAAGAGAAGAAACCGCUCUGCAAGGGGACUUUUUGAUGGUUGGGAAGUGGCUGGUCUUCACAGCCACCCAAGACAUUUUGAAAUACCAGGCUUAAUCAUGGAUGUAGGGAGGGGUUGGGCUAAAGAGGAAGGAACACAUUCUUUUUUGCCUUUUUUUUUUUAAGGCUUCUGGCUUAUGGAAGUUCCCAGGCUAGGAGUUGAAUUGGAGCUGCAGCUGCAGGCCUACACCACAGCCACAGCAACAGGAGAUCCAAGCUGUGUCUGCAACCUACACCACAGCUCAAGGCAGCACUGGAUCCUGAGAGAGGCCAGGGAUUGAACCUGCAUGUUCAUAGAUACUAUUCGGGGGCAUUACCACUGAGCCAUAAUGGGAACUCCAGAAACGCAUUCUUAACCUAACUCAGGUGACAGAGGAAAGGGCUGAAAUCUCUUUCUUGGCAACUAAAGGAACUUUAUGGAAUUGCCCAAAGGUAGAGAGAUAUGGUCUAGAUGCCUCCAUUGUGUCUUUUCUGACUUGGGGAUUCAGGACCACCCCUCCUCUAACUAGAGUCAGGGAACUUGCAAAGGGCUUCCUUUGACUUUACAAACAAAUUGAAGCACUGAACUCCUUGAAAGGAUGGAGCCAAGUAGGUAUUAGAAUGGCCACCGUUACCAAAUGUGGCUUUCUUGGUUUUCAUCUCUGUGUCCAGAGCUACUCUGUGUCCAGAGCUACUCUAUACCCUCCUGGGCCAUGUUAGUUCUAGGAGGGCUGAGAUUUCUAUUUAGUUCCUUUGCUGUUGCAGCCCUAACACCCUAGAAUAGUGUCUGGAACAUAAUAGAUCUUCAACAGAUAUUUAAGUGAAUGAAUAAAAUUAGGUAUAAGAAACCAGCUGUUUAAAAAAGCAGAAAGGGGGAGUUUUCCUUCUAGCUCAGUUGUUAAAGAGUCUGACUAGGAACCAUGAGGUUGUGGGUUCGAUCCCUGACCUCCUUCAGUGGAUUAAGGAUCUGGCAUUGCCGUGAGCUGUGGUGUAGGUUGCAGAUGCAGCUCGGAUCUGGCAUCGCUGUGACUCUGGUGUAGGCCGGUGGCUACAGCUCCAAUUAGACCUCUAGCCUGGAAACCUCCAUAUGCUGUGAGAGAGGCUCCCCCAAAUAAAAUAAAAUAAUAAUAAAAUAAAAUAAAGUGGCUGCAGAAAUUUCUAUACAAUGGAUGGACGAUCAUCAUUGACUUAGUGGCUUCUCUGUUGCUGACUAUCAGGUCCACAUUCCUUUUCUGCCCACUUACCCCCACCCCCUUUCUAGGCCCCUGUUACAUAGUCUCUGGUUGCUCUGAGGACUUCCCUUCCCAUACCCCUCAAGUACUCCAUUUCCCAAAUUACCUGCUUUUCUGCUCCCUCAACCCAAGCUUUUGGUUCUUCAGAGUAGCUGACUGGUGCAGGGGAUCAUUGGGAGCUUUGAACUGAACUCAGUUCUGCUCAUAUAUCAACAGCUAGCAGACCUCUUACAGGUCUCUUACCAGUCCAGAGCAACUUGCAUUGUUAAAAGAAGCAGCUUGUUAAUCCAAAUUAAUCUUUGCAUUGAGGUGGCUGAGCAAAUCAAAAGGAAAACUUUCUUUGUAGGGUAGGGAAACACUGGGUCAUGACGGUCACCUUACAACUAGGCUAAUCCUGCUUGAGACUCUUUCCUCUAACCAAGUCCCCUAAAAUAUUGCUGGCUUUCCAUAGUUGAGUUCAUUCCUUCACUUCUGACCCUAUAGAUCUAAACACCAGUAUUUGUUUUCCCUUCCCCCUCCUCUCCAGUGGUUUCCAUGGCAACAGUAGUUGCUAUUGAAAGGAAGGAGACAGGUGUCCCCACUGUCUUUUCUAACAGUGGGUUUAUCUAUAAAUUGAGAUUAGUCUCUUCUAAACAAGGCUAAUCAACAAAUAAAAGGAAUAAGAGUAAAACAAAUACAAACUAGGGUUUAAGUCAUUUGUUUUCCUAAACAUCUGUGAUUAGUAACGCUGCGUCACCUUGACUUUCCUUUUAUCAUAUCAGUGCAUGUAUGGGUUAUGGUGGGAAAGGGCUGCUUGGAAGAGACUGGAAGCGGGAUGGGUCUGAGCAAGCAAGGGCUUAGGGCCAGAGGUCAGCUGUGGCAGCAAGGAGCAGAGUUAUCUGGACCAUUGCUAAAGAUCUCAGCCCAAAGGAAUCCACACUCAAUUUAGUUUACAGUUUCACAGGAGGUGGGCGAUCAUAGUCAGAUGCCAGAGAUGAACUUGAAAGCAUUGGGGCCCAGAGCAGAGGCUGGGAUUAUCUCCCUGGAAAGGAGAAGCUAAGAGUCUACUUUAAAAGUAAACAUAUCUUGACUUCUGCCCUGGACAUUAUCUAGGACAAUGUUAAUGGGAUGGUUGGGAAGCCUGGGAAAGAGUGUACUUCAUGACCUCAACUCAUUUUAUUUAUUCUGUCAGAGAUAUCGGUCCUGUGCUGGGUCCUAUGUCAUUUAUUUAUUUGUUUAUUUAUUCCCCCCACCCCAAGGCAUAUGGAGUUCCCAGGCCAGGGAUCAGAUUUGAGCCAUAGUAACGACCUAGCUGCAGCUGCAGCAACAGGGCACCUUUAACCCAUGACACCUGACCAGGUAUCGAAUCUAUGUCCCAGUGCUGCAAAGAUGACCCUGAUCCCAAAGCACCACAGUGGGAACUCCCAAAGUCCCUUUUUAGACAAACGCAUCUUCUUUCUGACUAGGCUGCCCCCAGCUUUCUACACAGGCUUCUUUUUUGGCUGAUCAAAAAGAAACCCUCAGAAAUGUGGCUUCAUAAACCCUGCAGAUCAUUUCCCUGGUGAUGCAACCACAAGGCUGCCUGCCUUCUCUACCUCCUUGAAAGUCAGCUUCAUUCUGUCAAUGAAAAAUGUUGCCUGCCCUAUCAGCAAACUGAAAACGCUGCAGCCAUCAAGGCACCAGCCACUAUGCUGCCCCUACGGUGAGUCCUGAGGGAACUAAGGAUGGAGGCAACAGGUUUACUGGCUGCCAAGCCCUCAGUCACUGCAGCUACUCCCAGUGGUGCACCCGGAGGGGACUCAGGGUGAGAAAGAACUGGUCCUGGAUAGCUAAGGUGAUAUCAAAACACCUUAGCACCAUAAUUUGAAAGGCAUAAUUUCAAUGAACCCAGACUCAAGCAUCUUUCCAUACACAGAAAAGCACUGUCACUUGGGAUGUCUGGUUUUCUUUAAUUAAUCUCUUGAUGCUCCAACUACCUGGUUGUGGUUGCGAAACUCCUAGUCCUGGCUCCUCACUCAACUCUUCAGAGUGGUCCCUUAGCUCUGAGAGGCUGUCUUCAGGAAUUAAGUCCUUGGAAAUUCCGCCCAGUAAAACAGAAUUCUCAAAUUUUAGGCGGUGCAUUUUUUUAUGUCAACAAUUGGUACCUUGCCUCCUCCUUGCAAUCCUCUUCUUCAUUAAACAGUUUUACAUACUGAGGUUUAAUGGACACCCAUUACACGGCACAUAUGUAAAUCAUACAGUUUGAUGUUUUGAUAUGUGAAGUCAUCAUGAAACUAUGAUCUCAUCAUUACCAUCAAGAUGGUACCCCACUGUGUGGGCGGUACCACUAUUAGCUUAUCCAUGUACCUGUACCUGUUGAUGGACUUGGGGUUAUCUUGCAAAUAAAGCUGCCAUGAACAUUUGUGUACUGGUCUUUGUAAGGAUAGCGGCUAUCCUUUUUCUUGGGUACAUAUCUAGGAGCGAAAUGGCUGGAUCAUACGAUAGAUGCAUGUUCAGCUUUUUAAGAAAAUGUUUUCCAGUGUUGUAGCAUUUUGCCUUCCCAGCAGCAAUAGAUGAGAAUUCCAGUUGUUUUACAUCCUUGUCAGUAUUUGCUAUGGUCAGUCUUUUGAUUUUUAGUCGUUCUAACAGGUAUGUGAUUUUAUCUCAUUUUGUUUUAAUUUGCACCGACUUAAUGACUAAUGAUGUGGAACAUCUUUUCAUGUGGUAGUUUGCCAUGCAUGUAUCUUCUUUGAUGAAGUAUCUCCUCAAGACUUUUCUACAUUUUGGGAGAGGUUAUUUUGUUAUUACUGAGUUCUUUAUGUAUUCUGGAUCUAAGAUAUCAGACAUAUGAUCUGCAAAUAUUUUCUCCCAGUCUAUGGUGUGUCUUUUCAUUUUCCUAAUAGUAUCUUUUGAAGAGUAAAUGUUUAAAAUUUUGGUGAAAUACAGCUUAUCAAUUUAUUUGUUUAUUAUUAUUAUUUGCUUCUUAGGGCUGCACCCACAGCAUAUGGAAGUUCAGAGGCUAGGGGUCGAAUUGGAGUUACAGCUGCCGGCUAUACCACAGCCAUAGCAAUGCCACAUUUGAGCCAUGUCUGUGACCUACACCACAGCUCACGGCAACAGCAACACUAGAUCCUUAACCCACUGAGUGGGGCCAGGGAUGGAACAUCCAUCUUCAUGAAUGCUAGUCUGAUUUAUUUCUGCUGAGCCACAAUGGGAACUCCUAUCAAUUUAUUUUUUAAUGGAUAUUGCUUCUAAUAUCAUCCAUAAGAAAUAUUUACCUAAUCUAAGGUUACAAAGAUUUUCCCUUAUGUCUUCUCUAGAAGUUUUAUAAUUUUAUGUUUUAUAUUUAGGUCUAUAGACAUUUUAAAUUAAUUUUUGUACAUGGUGUGAAGUAUUAAUCAAUUCUUUUCCCCUUCACAGAUAUUUAAUUGUUCCAGCAGCAUUCGUUGAAAAGACUAUCCUUUUUCCACAGAAUUGCCUUAGCACCUUUGUCAAAAGUUAAGUUUUUUUUACAAUAUAUGUGUGAC
Molecule: long non-coding RNA, 4858 nt
Filed under: Sus scrofa (pig)
Lineage: Eukaryota; Metazoa; Chordata; Mammalia; Artiodactyla; Suidae
Description: lncRNA (ENSSSCG00015043917.1)
Source: RNAcentral